Small nucleolar RNA from Arabidopsis thaliana (thale cress), 154 nucleotides. RefSeq annotates it as other RNA. The record is from RefSeq. NCBI's taxonomy places the organism in Eukaryota, Viridiplantae, Streptophyta, Magnoliopsida, Brassicales, Brassicaceae. The transcript has a single exon.
GUUAGUUUUGAAAUCCGUGUACAAAUAAGCCGAUGCUCUGGAUUAAAGUAAUGAAUGUAGCAUGGUACUGUACACGGAAACUGAACUAUGGAUCGACAUGUCUGCCAUCUCUGAUUUUUUCCCUGAUUAGACGGCCUGGUUUAGAUCCACAUUC